RNAcentral lists this ribosomal RNA (503 nucleotides) under uncultured bacterium. RNAcentral's name for it is "partial 16S ribosomal RNA". It matches the Rfam family "Bacterial small subunit ribosomal RNA", at positions 30 to 523 of the family's 1533-position model. The record is from RNAcentral.
AUUGAACGCUGGCGGCAUGCCUUACACAUGCAAGUCGAACGGCAGCAUGGAGAGCUUGCUCUCUGAUGGCGAGUGGCGAACGGGUGAGUAAUGCAUCGGAACGUACCGUGUAAUGGGGGAUAACGUAGCGAAAGUUACGCUAAUACCGCAUACGACCUGAGGGUGAAAGCAGGGGAUCGCAAGACCUUGCGUUAUACGAUCGGCCGAUGUCAGAUUAGCUAGUUGGUGAGGUAAAGGCUCACCAAGCCGACGAUCUGUAGCGGGUCUGAGAGGAUGAUCCGCCACACAGGGACUGAGACACGGCCCAGACUCCUACGGGAGGCAGCAGUGGGGAAUUUUGGACAAUGGGGGCAACCCUGAUCCAGCCAUGCCGCGUGAGUGAAGAAGGCCUUCGGGUUGUAAAGCUCUUUCGGCCGGGAAGAAAUCGCACAGGCUAUACUCUGUGUGGAUGACGGUACCGGCAUAAGAAGCACCGGCUAACUACGUGCCAGCAGCCGCGGUAA